Molecule: ribosomal RNA, 547 nt
Filed under: uncultured bacterium
Lineage: Bacteria
Description: bacterial SSU rRNA
Rfam family: Bacterial small subunit ribosomal RNA
Source: RNAcentral
GGAAUAUUGGGCAAUGGAGGAAACUCUGACCCAGCGACGCCGCGUGCGGGAUGAAGGCCUUCGGGUUGUAAACCGCUUUCAGUAGGGAAGAAGCGAAAGUGACGGUACCUACAGAAGAAGCACCGGCUAACUAUGUGCCAGCAGCCGCGGUAAUACAUAGGGUGCAAGCGUUGUCCGGAAUUAUUGGGCGUAAAGAGCUCGUAGGUGGUUCGUUACGUCGGAUGUGAAAAUCUGGGGCUCAACCCCAGACCUGCAUCCGAUACGGGCGAGCUAGAGUUUGGUAGGGGAGACUGGAAUUCCUGGUGUAGCGGUGGAAUGCGCAGAUAUCAGGAGGAACACCAAUGGCGAAGGCAGGUCUCUGGGCCAAUACUGACACUGAGGAGCGAAAGCGUGGGGAGCGAACAGGAUUAGAUACCCUGGUAGUCCACGCCGUAAACGGUGGGCGCUAGUUGUGGGAACCUUCCACGGUUUCUGCGACGCAGCUAACGCAUUAAGCGCCCCGCCUGGGGAGUACGAUCGCAAGAUUAAAACUCAAAUGAAUUGACGG